GUCAACCCCUACCAUCGUCUAUGCCCAUACCACUCUGAUCCUGGAAGCUAAGCAUGGUCAAGCCUGGCCAGUAAGUAAAUGGGAGACAACCUGGGAAUUACCAAGUGCUGUAGGCU
Chlorocebus sabaeus (green monkey) is the source of this 116-nucleotide ribosomal RNA. The record is from Ensembl. Lineage: Eukaryota; Metazoa; Chordata; Mammalia; Primates; Cercopithecidae.